GAGGGUAUAGCUCAGUGGUAGAGUGCAUGCCUAGCAUGAAUGAGGUCCUAGGUUCAAUCCCCAGUACCUCCA
This 72-nucleotide transfer RNA is filed under the name Camelus bactrianus (Bactrian camel). It matches the Rfam family "tRNA". From Rfam's summary of the family: Transfer RNA (tRNA) molecules are approximately 80 nucleotides in length. RNAcentral also lists the same sequence under 1 other name. Lineage: Eukaryota; Metazoa; Chordata; Mammalia; Artiodactyla; Camelidae. The record is from Rfam by way of RNAcentral.